ACCGAAGAAUUGGCGACAACUCGAUGAAUUUUAUAAAUGGAUCAAUUCGACUUUUAAAUUCGGAUUUCUGUACCAGGAGCGAACAGCCCCUCGGGUAUUCCGGAUGUGGAUCGCGCUCAAUUCUUAUAUGGGUGUAUACAAUUAACCGCCAGCAUCCGAAACAUUUUCAAAGCAAACCAAACGAGCGUAGACCAUAUAUAUAUAUACCUAUAUAUAACACGAGAUUUCUCUACAACGGAAUGAAAUCUGAUGGAAUAAAUGCUUCGGAACGUGUACGGUGCGGCAAUUAAAAAAUAAUUAGAGACAAUUAUACAUACUCGGUGUAAUAAAUCUAGGGAGAUUCGAUCGAAAUUUUUCUACCGAAUUAAUCAAACCCACACUCUCUCUCUCUCUCGACGGAGAGGAACAAGUCGAAGGACUCGUUCGAAACAAAAAAAAAUUCAAGGAAUUUCCUCCUCGGAUCCUAUCUAGUCGUAUUGGCACGAGUGGGGUAAACAUAUAUAUAUAUAUUGAAAAUAGGAAAAAAAAAAUCGAGCUCAGUUUUUUUUUCUUCUUCUUUAACGGAGGACCUUCGUAAUGCACUUACAAUCAGUCUCUCUGUAUUACAUACUUUAGUCGCGUAACUUAUACGCGGUGUUCGUCGCGUCGAGUUGGUGCAGCGGCAGCAGCGGCGGUAAGAGAGGAAGGAGAAAUAAUUUAUCUUCGCGCAUUAGACCUACUCGCGUGUGGUCCGUGAUAGCGCCGAGCGAAGAAGUAUUCCACGGAGUUAUUGAUAAGCGUAUUUCCGAGAUACAUACAGAAUGCGAGUAGAGACGACGACGACGACGACGAGACGCGCGCACGUCAUCUCUCUCAUCUCAUCUUCUAGCGUUAUACCUACGCGUGGACCCCACAUUUCUACCUACGGUUACGCACCGCAAGCGAUAAGAACGAAACUGUACGGUAUGCGCGCGAGACGAAACACAAUCACAAUCGGUUUCGCCGUCUCGAUUUUUUUCCCUCCUUCUUUUUCUUCUUAUUUUCUCCAAUUUUCCAAUCGUUUCUAGAAAUAUUCCGUUUAUACCCCAGGGCUCGAUCGCUUAUCCAUCUCGAAAUUCGAUUCUUGCCAUCGGACCACACAGGGCGCGCGAGUCCCACCCCCCCCCUGUAAAACACAUACGCGCUGACGGGAAUUUAGGGUCACUCCGAUUCCGUGUAAUUUACCGCACCGAUCACCUUUCGGUGCCAGGUCAUUCCGUCUCGGUUUUUAUAGGUGUGUUGGAUUCUCGGUUUGAUCCGAUGAGGACAUAGGGGGGGGGGGGGGGCUAAAUUGUUAGCGACUCUCGUUACUUUCCCGACAAUUUAAUUUUAUCGUCGUAUCGUCCGAUCGAUCAGCUGACGCCACUGCGGGGAUAAGGUUGUAAUUUUCCACGUCAUUUGUCGAGGUGUAAAAACGCAACGACUACCAUACGUGCGUCGCAGCGACGAUCGACUCGACGCAGGAAUUACAGGGUGUCCCGAGGAGAUCAGAGAAAAUGGAGAGCGUCUAUAUCACCCGGAUUAACGUAUCUCUAAAUCUACGUCUCUCGGGCGCGUCGAGUCGUUUGAAUAGAGUCGGUGGUUUAUUAAUUUCGGAUAGAAGGUGAUUAACGUCUUCCUCUCUCCCCCAUUGGUAAGUUUCAAUUCUCCCUGAAAAUGAGUUGGAACCUGUCGCGAUAAAAAAGGGAAGACAGACAAAACAUCGGGGCGUUUAAAGUAUAGAGGACUCGGUGGUUUACGCCGGGAUUCCGAAACGGCACACCCGACGUCUGUUUAACGUAACCCCCUCCCCCCUCCCCCUCCCCCCCCCCCAUGACUUUGUUUACGUUACAUCCACGCAUGGGUCGACACACAUUUCUCAAGUUAACCGUGAAGGGGAACCGAGAGUAAUCCACAUAUCUGUUUAGAUCGCAGAAGCUCAGCAGCGACUGCGUAAAACGCUCUCGUCCCCCAUCCAACUCCCGUGAAAUGAAGCGUCGAGUCGAGUCGCGAGAUGCGGAGCGACCGGAGAGGGUCGAGAUUCGGAGAGCAGCGGAGAUCCAAGAAGGGGGCGAAUAAUAUUUUUACUACGAAUAGCGGUUUUGGGAAAAUGUGGAAAAUAAGGAGAACCGUCGGGAACAACGACACGAAAUGCACGUUACUCCCCGCGGAAGUCGAAGCGCGGGGGGUUCCAUUACCUUCUGUAAAAUCACGGAGGCGAGAUAGAUCGUUACGCAACCGGUGCGACGUCCCAGUGGUGCAACGAUGCUGAGAUGUAUCAAAAAUCGACGAAUUGAAAUGUCAAAUUUCCGAAGGACCUUCGACCGAUAUCGAUUCGAUCGUCACUUUCGUCCUCUGGGGACAAGAUGCGGCGGAUAUUCCACCGUAUAUAUCGAGUCCGUUGAGAGCGAACAGAAAAUUCUAAGCGAAACGUUCGAUGUUCGAAAUGAAGAAUUUCCACAAUAAAUAUACAGAGAAAAGGAAUGUAGCAGGUGACUGUUUAUUAUCCUCGUCAUUUACAAUCCUCUUUCUUCGGCUCCGUGAGGAUUCGGUAAGAAAAAUACACACGUGCGAUCAAGAUCGUCCGUUACACGCCGAUGACCUUUUUUUUUUUCUUUUCUUUCUAAUCCGUUGUCGAAAGAAGAUAAAUCCGUUGAAGAUAAGAACAAUUCAUCGUUGAGAUUUGAAUUUUACAGCCACAGAUAAGAUCAUUGUUUCUCUCUCUCUGGAUAGAUAAUGACAUUUUUUUUUUUUUUCUGUUAAAUCUACUUUUUGAUGUAGUUGGCGAGAGUUUAUUUGUACAUUUCGGUCGAGAUCUACGCUUAUCCUCCGUGUAAGAUUUUUAUUGCUUCUCGAGUGUGCGAGCUCUGGUUGAGUUGAACAACACGAUAACGCGUAAAGCCCUAAUCGAACCUACUACGUAACCUGUACCGCGUAAAUUAUACGCUGCACUACACACACACGUUGUACUGCCCGACAUUAUUCUCUGGAAUAUGUUUUUUUUUCCCCAAAUCCUUUUUUCUAAUCUAUUUAAUUGCGAUGCCUCUUUUCAAAGGGGUUUGCUGUCCGCUCGACGUAACGCAACGGUACGGGGUGUACAAAAAGUCCAUAUAGCAUACGGGGGAUCAAAGGUACCGAAUUCUGAUAUAAUAUAUCCGAAUAUACAGCUCAUGUAUGUAUAUACGAUACGGUACGGUUGAAUAAAAAAAAAAAAAAAAAAAAAAA
This is a long non-coding RNA of Athalia rosae (coleseed sawfly), 3222 nucleotides long. RefSeq lists it as uncharacterized. NCBI's taxonomy places the organism in Eukaryota, Metazoa, Arthropoda, Insecta, Hymenoptera, Athaliidae. The transcript is spliced from 2 exons. The record is from RefSeq and is a predicted model, not a curated record.